CCCUUUGUUUACAUCGGGAGCGGUUAGUGGCGGACUGGUGAGUAACACGUAAGCAACCUGCCUAUUAGAGGGGAAUAACAGUGAGAAAUCAUUGCUAAUACCGCAUAUGCUCACAGUAUCACAUGAUACAGUGAGGAAAGGAGCAAUCCGCUAAUAGAUGGGCUUGCGUCUGAUUAGCUAGUUGGUGGGGUAACGGCCUACCAAGGCGACGAUCAGUAGCCGGACUGAGAGGUUGAACGGCCACAUUGGGACUGAGAUACGGCCCAGACUCCUACGGGAGGCAGCAGUCGGGAAUAUUGCGCAAUGGAGGAAACUCUGACGCAGUGACGCCGCGUAUAGGAAGAAGGUUUUCGGAUUGUAAACUAUUGUCGUUAGGGAAGAUAAAAGACAGUACCUAAGGAGGAAGCUCCGGCUAACUAUGUGCCAGCAGCCGCGGUAAUACAUAGGGAGCAAGCGUUAUCCGGAAUUAUUGGGUGUAAAGGGUGCGUAGACGGAGGAACAAGUUAGUUGUGAAAUCCCUCGGCUUAACUGAGGAACUGCAACUAAAACUAUUCCCCUUGAGUGUCGGAGAGGAAAGUGGAAUUCCUAGUGUAGCGGUGAAAUGCGUAGAUAUUAGGAGGAACACCAGUGGCGAAGGCGACUUUCUGGACGAUAACUGACGUUGAGGCACGAAAGUGUGGGGAGCAAACAGGAUUAGAUACCCUGGUAGUCCACACUGUAAACGAUGGAUACUAGGUGUAGGGUGUAUUAAGCACUCUGUGCCGCCGCAAACGCAUUAAGUAUCCCACCUGGGGAGUACGACCGCAAGGUUGAAACUCAAAGGAAUUGACGGGGGCCCGCACAAGCAGUGGAGUAUGUGGUUUAACUCGAAAGCACGCGAAGAACCUUACCAGGGCUUGACAUAUACCGGA
This 911-nucleotide ribosomal RNA is filed under the name uncultured bacterium. RNAcentral describes it as "bacterial SSU rRNA". It matches the Rfam family "Bacterial small subunit ribosomal RNA", at positions 72 to 995 of the family's 1533-position model. The record is from RNAcentral.